AUAAUCAAAGCAUUUUUUUUAACUGUAAUUAGAAUUAUCCUGCCUUUUUUUUUGUCUCAUUUUUGUCAGGAUGCAACAAAAUUAGAGAGUAAUUAGAGGGUAUUCAAUAAGUAUAAGGUACGGUGAUCGAGUGGAUCGAUAAAGCAAUAUCAGUAUAACACCAUUUCUUAUUUUGAUUUUUUUUUUUGGAAAAUUUGUCUGGAAGGGACUUAUAUAUGUUCAAUAUUCUGUCUAGAAGGACCUUAUAUGUUCAAAGUGAUCUAAAAUGAUCUUAUAAGUUUGUUUUGUUGUUUAGAGGGACCUUGACGCCGGAUUCGAGCAUUUGACUUUUUAUCUGGUGUUAACUCUCUGCGUGCAUGUCAUGUGACAUUAAAAAAUCACCCUCCCUAUUAUGUUUUUCCUUCUUUCCCUCAAAUUCCCCUUAUUUGCCCAGAUUUUUUCCCAAAUUGUUUCUCUCUCCUCACGAACCAAGGUUCCCUAAUCUAAUACAUUGUGUUCCCUAAAUUUUCGAAGAAAUUCAAGCAAGCAUCUUUCGAUUAAGUCCUUUUCGCAUCAGCAUGCUGUUUUUGACUAAACGGAAGUUAUUGGCAAGUGCAAUUGUGGCCUUCCUCUUGUGCAAAGCACAUAAUAGACUCAUGAAAAUCUAUGCAGAAGGUUUAAAGCUUGCAAAUUUUAUAAUUUCUUGUCAGGGGAGAAGGGUUGUGACUACAAUAAAUGGGUUGAUGAGGAUAUUUUGGAGUGGUAGAAGGAUGUAACUAAUGUUCAACUAUUUGAAAAACAAAGAUUGACAACUGAUAUGAGUGUUUUGAAGGCUAGGGUUGCUUGUAUGAAACAUAAGAAGAGAAGGUUGAUUGAGGAACAUGAGAAGAUGAAGAACAUGAGCAAUGAAGGUGUUGAAAGAUCUCUGAUUAGUUAUGGAAAUUGUGGAAUUAUAUUAAUUUGUGUAAUUAUGUAAAUCGUGUGUAGUUUUAUUGUGGUGAAGUUAUGUGUCUAAUUAAUUGUAAUUGUAUUGCAGAGUGAAUGAAUAUAUGAUGUAAUUAUUUCAAGAUUUGAAUGAAUCAAUGAAGCUCAAUUUGCCUUUA
Long non-coding RNA from Chenopodium quinoa (quinoa), 1082 nucleotides. RefSeq lists it as uncharacterized. The record is from RefSeq and is a predicted model, not a curated record. Lineage: Eukaryota; Viridiplantae; Streptophyta; Magnoliopsida; Caryophyllales; Amaranthaceae. The transcript has 2 exons.